RNAcentral lists this ribosomal RNA (561 nucleotides) under uncultured marine eukaryote. Its description in RNAcentral is "SSU rRNA". It matches the Rfam family "Eukaryotic small subunit ribosomal RNA", at positions 613 to 1173 of the family's 1831-position model. The record is from RNAcentral.
UUGCGGUUAAAAAGCUCGUAGUUGGAUCUCGGCGGGCAGGGGGUGGUUCGCUCUUCAGCGCUACUGCCCCGCUUUGCCCGUGUGAUUGGCGGAGGUUUCGGGGUGCUCUUCGUUGAGUGACUCGGAGCGCCGUCAGGUUUACUUUGAAAAAAUUAGACUGCUCAAAGCAGGCUUUUCACGCUUGAAUAUUCGUGCAUGGAAUAAUGGAAUAGGAACUCGUUUCUAUUUUGUUGGUUUUCGGAAAUCGAGUUAAUGAUUAACAGGGACAAUUGGGGGCAUUAGUAUUCAGACGACAGAGGUGAAAUUCUUGGACCGUCUGAAGACUGACUACUGCGAAAGCAUUUGCCAAGAGUGUUUUCAUUAAUCAAGAACGAAAGUUAGAGGUUCGAAGGCGAUCAGAUACCGCCCUAGUUCUAACCAUAAACGAUGCCAGCUAGCGAUCUGCCGAGUUUUUUUUGUAGGCUCCGCAGGAAGCUUUCGGGAAACCAAAGCUUUUGGGUUCCGGGGGAAGUAUGGUUGCAAAGCUGAAACUUAAAGGAAUUGACGGAAGGGCACCACCAG